AAAUCAGUUAUCGUUUAUUUGAUAGUACCUUUACUACUUGGAUAACCGUGGUAAUUCUAGAGCUAAUACAUGCUAAAAAUCCCGACUGUUUGGAAGGGAUGUAUUUAUUAGAUAAAAAAUCAAUGCUCUUUGAGCUCUUUGAUGAUUCAUAAUAACUUUUCGAAUCGCAUGGCCUUGUGCUGGCGAUGGUUCAUUCAAAUUUCUGCCCUAUCAACUUUCGAUGGUAGGAUAGUGGCCUACCAUGGUUUCAACGGGUAACGGGGAAUAAGGGUUCGAUUCCGGAGAGGGAGCCUGAGAAACGGCUACCACAUCCAAGGAAGGCAGCAGGCGCGCAAAUUACCCAAUCCCGACACGGGGAGGUAGUGACAAUACAUAACGAUACAGGGCCCUUUCGGGUCUUGUAAUUGGAAUGAGUACAAUGUAAAUACCUUAACGAGGAACAAUUGGGGGGCAAGUCUGGUGCCAGCAGCCGCGGUAAUUCCAGCUCCAAUAGCGUAUAUUAAAGUUGUUGCAGUUAAAAAGCUCG
This 526-nucleotide ribosomal RNA is filed under the name uncultured eukaryote. Its description in RNAcentral is "SSU rRNA". It matches the Rfam family "Eukaryotic small subunit ribosomal RNA", at positions 103 to 630 of the family's 1831-position model. The record is from RNAcentral.